CGUCAGAUCAGCGCAGGUAGAGUAAGUAUAUGAGACGGACCGGAGAGACGUUCACGUCACUCGUUCUUGAACCUCUUCGUUCGUUUGUUCUGUAAAGAGUUCCUGCGUCGAUUUAUUUUUCCUCUUCAAUGGCUCAUUGCACAUUCUGUUUUGUAUUUUCUUUGUACUCGUGCGCGCCUUUUACCUCGCCGGUGACAUGCAACGAGGAGAACCUACGAGCAGAAUUUACGUUCAUCCGGAAGUCUUGUGUGACCAGUCAUCGUGGUUCUCGGGUCGAGUACACCGAUCAGGCUGGAAGGUUCGUACAAGCGUGUCGGGACAAAGGAUAAAAAGGAAGUGUUAACGACUCAUGGCACGAGCUAACGUGCCGAAGAUAUGUUUACCGCGCAAUCAGGUGGCUGCGCUAAAGAGGAAGAAGUUGCUCGCACCUUCCUGAUAACAAGCAAAGCUGCUGUGCUCACACUACAGUUCGCCACAGCGACAGUUUCGAUCCUUCUACGUUUACCUUUCGAACAUCUCGAUCUUUUUGAUUAAUUUUCUAUACAGCCGGCAACAGAGGAAGGAUGCCUUUAUAUGUUCGAGUGAAGAAUCGAAGGCGCGCACUAUGAAGAGAGCUAUCCAUCGACAGUAUGGCGAUAGUAGACACUGUCAUGGAGUUGCUCUCUUUGUGGACGUCGCUAUAUUCGGCGAUUAUUAAACGACACCAAUGAAAGUGGAAAAUUCACUUACUUGUUUAAGGAUCCUCGCUUGUCGAAGUUCGAAUAAAUGUACAUACUUUGCUUUUCAUUCUUCAUGUGAUUACCUACUGCAAAAACAAUGAAUAAUAAAAAAGCAGAAAAUAAUCUUUCCAUUGAGAAUCCUGUGUCUUCAAAUAAA
Molecule: long non-coding RNA, 876 nt
Organism: Ceratina calcarata
Lineage: Eukaryota; Metazoa; Arthropoda; Insecta; Hymenoptera; Apidae
Exons: 3
Source: RefSeq, a predicted model, not a curated record